CCGUCAUCGCCAAAACUCUCUCUUGCCGAACCAGAGGAUAACGUGUCAGCCGCUGAUCCAAACCAAUGGAACGUUAUCAGCCACCAGCGGUAGCGGCCACGGGCCGCACCCAAUCCACUCUCUUCCGGACUCCGGUCACUCUUCGGCAAGAAGAGGUAAGGGGUGAGCGAGUCACACGCGACGCAGUGCACGGUUUUAAGCGGACUUCCUUUCUUGUGGCGGGGACUACUUCUUCCUGCUUCCGCUCCUGCCCUCUUCCUCCUUCUCCGACGCCGAGGAAAGCGAGCCUUUCUCUCGGUCUCUCUCAGUUGCGGAUGGAUAGCUUCCUCUUCACUUCGGAGUCUGUCAACGAGGGCCACCCCGACAAGCUCUGCGACCAGGUCUCCGAUGCCAUACUUGAUGCCUGCUUGGAACAGGACCCUGAAAGCAAGGUCGCUUGUGAGACCUGCACCAAGACCAACAUGGUGAUGGUGUUUGGCGAGAUCACCACCAAGGCCCAGGUAAACUACGAGAAGAUUGUUCGUGACACUUGCCGAGGCAUCGGUUUCGUCACCGCCGACGUUGGCCUCGACGCCGACCGCUGCAAGGUCCUUGUUAACAUCGAGGAGCAGAGCCCCGACAUCGCCCAGGGAGUGCACGGGCACCUCACGAAGAAGCCCGAGGAGAUCGGCGCCGGCGACCAAGGCCACAUGUUCGGCUACGCCACGGACGAGACGCCGGAGCUGAUGCCCCUCACCCACGUCCUGGCCACCAAGCUCGGCGCCAAGCUCACGGAGGUGCGCAAGAACCAGACGUGUCAGUGGCGCCAAGACUCAGGUGACCGUCGAGUACCGGAACGAAGGCGGCGCGAUGGUGCCCGUGCGGGUGCACACCGUGCUCAUCUCCACCCAGCACGACGAGUCUGUGACCAACGAGCAGAUCGCCAUGGACCUGAAAGAGCAUGUCAUCAAGCCGGUCAUCCCCGCCAAGUACAUCGACGACAGGACCAUAUUCCACUUGAACCCGUCGGGUCGCUUCGUCAUCGGCGGGCCUCAAGGCGACGCAGGGCUGACCGGCAGGAAGAUCAUAAUCGACACCUACGGCGGCUGGGGAGCCCACGGCGGCGGCGCCUUCUCAGGGAAGGAUCCGACCAAGGUGGACCGCAGCGGCGCUUACAUCGCGAGGCAGGCCGCGAAGAGCGUGGUGGCUUCUGGACUUGCUCAGAGGUGCAUCGUUCAGAUUUCCUACGCCAUCGGCGUGCCGGAGCCGCUGUCGGUGUUCGUGGACAGUUACAGAACGGGGAAGAUACCUGACAAAGAGAUACUGGCGUUGAUCAAAGAAAGCUUCGAUUUCAGGCCGGGGAUGAUCGCGAUCAACCUCGACUUGAAGAGGGGCGGCAACUUGAGGUACCAGAAGACUGCAGCCUAUGGCCAUUUUGGCCGCGACGAUCCUGACUUCACAUGGGAGAAAGUCAAGGUUCUGAAAGCGAACUAAGGCUCGAGCCACCAAGCAUCAAUCUGAUGCUCGCAUUUCAACUCCACCAGUAUGGAUUCUUCCCAGUUGCGAGCUCUAGCAGACCAUGUUGUUGCUUUUAGUCUUCUUCUCUCUGUGAUCCAUUGCCUCUGCUUCCAUCGAUGUCGAGGACCUCGCUUUUGUCUUUGUUAUCAUUCUGCACCAGGAUGAAAGCAUUCUCCCGUU
Molecule: RNA transcript, 1677 nt
Organism: Musa acuminata AAA Group (dessert banana)
Lineage: Eukaryota; Viridiplantae; Streptophyta; Magnoliopsida; Zingiberales; Musaceae
Gene name: S-adenosylmethionine synthase 3-like
Exons: 2
Source: RefSeq, a predicted model, not a curated record